UUACAUUGUUUAUAUCUUCUAUAGUUCUCUCUCCCUCACCUUCCUCUUCUUCUGCAUCCUCCUCUUUCUUUCUUACUACUUUCUCAUCCUUAAAUCCCUUCUCUCUAAAACAUCUUCCCGUUGCAACUCAUUCCAUGGACAAAAGGUCCUCUGGUACGCGCCCCACAGUGGCUUCAGCAACCAGCUCUCCGAGUUCAAGAACGCCCUUCUAAUGUCUACCAUUUUGAACAGGACUUUACUUAUUCCUCCCAUUCUGGAUCACCAUGCCGUUGCUCUCGGUAGCUGCCCCAAGUUCAGGGUUCUGGAACUGAAUCAGAUUCGGAUCACGGUUUGGGACCAUGUCGUUGACCUCAUUCGCACUAAGAGAGGGAUACUGUUGGGUUAACUGCUCAGAAUAAGGAGCUCAAAAUGCGGUUACAGGCUAUGGAGCAACAAGCACAACUCAGAGAGGCCACAGCUCUGAACGAAAAAUUGAGGGAAGAAGUUCAGCGCCUCAAGAUAGCAUUUGGGAAAGUUCCCUCUAUCAAUGGCAAUAUGUUCAACCGAGGACUCGCUCCCCAACUCGCCUCCCACCUGCCCGACAUGCAUCACUUUGGUAGCCACCAGACACAACAACAACAACUUCACAUGCCUUAGUCAUCCAACAAUAACCAGAAUCACAAUAAUGGGCAUCCUCAACUUAGCUUCUUAGUCGUCAAUCGAAGGGUGUAAAAUCAAUUAUUAACCCAAAAAACUUUGUGUGGCGCUAUCAACAGGAUAACCCAUUUCAGGUGGCUUGUGUACAUAUAGUUAAGUAUGUAUGUACUCGGCAGGUAUGUAUAAGUUGUUGUGAUGACUGAUUUUGCUAAGAUCAGUCCCUUAUAUCAUUUCUUUAUAGGUAUGGCUAUAUCAGCAAUCAUUAUUAUUUCUAGGAUAAGAAUCAGAAUGUUGUUGUAAAGCAAAACCCUCUUUGUUGGACCAAUUAUGGGCAACUGGUUAUCAUCAUUUAUAAUGUUUACAACUACAAGUACUCUCUUAGAGUAAGCGACACAAAUAAGAAUCUAGUUUAUAGAGGUGGUUUUUAUAAAAAGAUUGUUAUAUGUUUGAACUGGAUGCAUAUUAGAAAGCUUAAAUACAUGAUUAGAUGUCAAUGGAGCAGUAAUUACUUACUAUUAAACAAAAAGAGAAUAAUUAUUGAGUUUUGUUUGGCUGUUUAUUUAUUUAUACAUAAUGAGAUAACGUGGAAGUUGGGUUGAUGAUCAAGGCCACGUGCUAGUCCAUAAUUAUUGUAGAAUCAAAGAACAAAAUCUAUGUUUAAAAUUUGAUUUAUUCCCUUCAAACCUUGAUAAGUUGAAAGUAUCAUCGUCAUCAUAAUGGUGGGUUUUUUUUUAUUCUUUAUAUGAACAAACAAUUAAGACAGCAAAAAACAAGUGGCAUAAAUGUGGCUUUGGUAUCAUUUUAGAAUUUGGAAUAAAAUUCCUGUUUUAUUAGUUAGUGUUUAGGCUGGAAACGCAUUUAAUGAGAAAAACUAAAUCAAUAAAAGCCAAGUAUUAUAUAUGGUAAUAUGCAUCUAGCUAUACAUGAUAUGUUUCUUGAAUUUGGUUUGUCUUGUUCAUGCAGCUUCUAAUUAAUGGUAACUUAUUAUUAUAAUAACAUAAUUGUUGGUGCCUUUUGUGUGUUUAUAAUUUGUUUUUGUUUGCAUAUUGUAAUGUAGUCUUGACAGUUUAAAACAAUGGCCAUGGGUACUUAUCCCAAAAAAAAUCAGAGCUCUGUCUCGCCGUUCUCCCGACUCCACUAAAAACUUGCAUAUUGCAUUCAAUUUACUUGUUAUAAAAUUCUUUUAAUUCUUUCAUUAUUGAAUUAUUUUCUUUUAAUUAAUCAUUAGUUUGUGUAUGAGUUUAGGGUUUAGAUAAAUCUGAAUUCCCUAAUUUCAAAAUGAAUUCUCUUAUUUUCUAAUAUAGAGUAAGUGUAUUAUUUGAUUUUGCAAUGUUACAUUAAUUUUUUGCUAAAUUUUUAAGUUUCUAUUACUAAAAAUCUAAAAAUAUCAUAAUCUCAUAUAUAUGUAGUUUGGUAUUCAUAUAUAAUAUCAUAAUAUCAACAAAUACUUGGUCAUACCUUAGUUAUAUUUUAUUUUCUCCUCUUUGCAUUAUUAUUUAAUUAUUUAAUUCGGAUUUGACUCACAUUCAUUAUAUAUUAUAACAUUGCAAAUGUGGGUAUAUGCUAAGACAGACUUCAAAUAAACUUUUUUUGCAACAGUUUGUAAAACGUAUGCCUCUAACUUUUAUUUUAAUACUAUGCAAAUGUUAGAGGAGUUUGAAUAUCUUAAAUAUUCAUCCAUAGUGAAGUAGGUUCUGGGAUUGAUAUUGUAUGUUGCGGUGAUAACGGAAGGUUGAGAACUUGUAUGUUUUAGUGAAGUAGGAUUUGAGAAAUUUGUGUGCUGCGGAGAUAAGAAAGAAAACGUGUGUUGUUUGAAUUGAUAUUGGCAAAUAGUUGGUUGCUAGUAUGGGGAAAAUGUUGUUCGGUUUUAUGUAGACUUGUCUAUGAUUAUCCUAUAAUUGAAUUGUGUUUGAUUGGUUUGAUUAUAACAUAUACUUGUAUGAAUGUACUUAUUGCGUGUUGGCAUACACAUAUAGCAUAACUUUUUGUACUUCUUGUUUUAGACGAUGUUAGUUUUCUUUUUGUCCCUUGUCUGAUGUCUUUGGUGAGGUGAUUUAUAACAUUGAUCAUCACUUUUGGUUCUUAUGAUCACGUUUAGGUUCAAUAGUAUAAAGUGUUAUACAAAAGUUAGACAUUAUUAGCAUAUUGGUUGAUAAUUCAUAGUUAUAUUGGACUCUAAGUUUCAUUCUUUUGGACUAUCAUUUAUUGAUUUUAUCAGCUUCGGGGUAUAUUUUUGUUUUAGUGUCAGUGCUUAAUUUUUUUAGAUUUAUUAAUUUUAGUGUAUAUUAUGUAUUUAUAUUUUUUGUUGGAUACUUUGCUUCUGAUUUUGUUAUGUUUAUUCAGAUUCAAGGUAUGUAUAUAUAUAGACUAUUUUGUUGGUGGCUUUUGGUACCCAUCAUAUAAUUUUAUAUUUGGUAUUCUAUGACAUAUUUGUGUUGUGUUUACUCUGUUAGUGUUGAAGACUUUGUUUAUUAUCUUGUUAUGUUAAUCAGCUUUAGGGUAUAUUUGUGUUUUGAUGUCAUUGCUUAAUUUUUUUUUUAGAUUUGUUGAUUUUAGUGUAUAUUAUGUAUAUAUAUUUUUUGUUAGAUAUUUUGCCUUUGAUUUUGUUAUGUUUAUUUAGAUUUAGAUUAUAUAUGUGUACUAUUGUAAUUAAGUUCUUUUUUGUGAUUCAUUUUUUACAUUUAUUGAUUUUGGUAUAUAUGUAUAUAUAUCUAUAUAUAAAUAUAUUUUUGUUGGAUAUUUCUUUCUAGUAUUAUUAUGGUUAAUUAUAUUUAUGGUAUUCAUUUUUUUUUUUUUGCCAAUGUUGUUAAAAUAAUGAGUAUGCUUAUUAUGUUGGUGAUUAUAGGACUUAUUGUGCUCUUAUAUUUUUAAAGGCAUACAAAGUUUCUUAAGUGCUCAUAAUAAGUCAUUCUUUUUUUCUUUUUGAAAUCCUUAUGAUGAUUAAAUUGGGGAUAUUCUAUUAUUAAAUUGGGAGUUUUGUUAUACUGUAAUUCACAACAUCAUUGGUCUCCGUCUCAAACCUUCUCGGCAUUCUUACAAGGUCAGUUUUUGUUUAAUAAUCUCUAAGAGGAUUAUUUAACUAAUUUUACAUAUUUAUAUUGUUGGUUCUCUCAUUCAUUCGUUAAUAUAUUAUGGUAAGAUAUGCUAUUUAAUUAUAAUUUGAAGUCUUUAAUUCAUUGGUGCAGGGAAUAUCAUAGGACGGACUUUUAAGGUGGAUGCCUAGAUCUAUUAGGAAGAAUAUUGAGAAAAGAAACAUGAUUGAGUUUGCAGUGAUUUAGAGAAGAUAAUUAUGUUGUCUUGUUGAGAUUUGUUGUAUUAUAUAUUUUGAAGUUUAUGGAUUUAUAAUAUUAUAAUGAAUUUUUAUUGAGAAUUAUUUAGUCUCA
Long non-coding RNA from Humulus lupulus (European hop), 4019 nucleotides. RefSeq lists it as uncharacterized. The record is from RefSeq and is a predicted model, not a curated record. Lineage: Eukaryota; Viridiplantae; Streptophyta; Magnoliopsida; Rosales; Cannabaceae. The transcript is spliced from 3 exons.